This 379-nucleotide ribosomal RNA is filed under the name uncultured bacterium. RNAcentral's name for it is "bacterial SSU rRNA". It matches the Rfam family "Bacterial small subunit ribosomal RNA", at positions 30 to 414 of the family's 1533-position model. The record is from RNAcentral.
AUUGAACGCUGGCGGCAUGCCUUACACAUGCAAGUCGAACGGUAGAGUAGCAAUACUCGAGAGUGGCGAACGGGUGAGUAACAUAUCGGAACGUGCCCAAUCGUGGGGGAUAACGUAGAGAAAUUUACGCUAAUACCGCAUACGAUCUAAGGAUGAAAGCGGGGGAUCGCAAGACCUCGCGCGAUUGGAGCGGCUGAUAUCAGAUUAGGUUGUUGGUGAGGUAAAAGCUCACCAAGCCGACGAUCUGUAGCUGGUUUGAGAGAACGACCAGCCACACUGGGACUGAGACACGGCCCAGACUCCUACGGGAGGCAGCAGUGGGGAAUUUUGGGACAAUGGGCGAAAGCCUGAUCCAGCAAUGCCGCGUGCAGGAAGAAGG